Molecule: small nucleolar RNA, 104 nt
Organism: Talpa occidentalis (Iberian mole)
Lineage: Eukaryota; Metazoa; Chordata; Mammalia; Eulipotyphla; Talpidae
Product: small nucleolar RNA U13
Exons: 1
Source: RefSeq, a predicted model, not a curated record
AUCCUUUUCUGGUUCAUAAGCAUGAUAAUUGGGUAUUCACGCCAUUGUGUGAGAUGUGUCUCCCUUAAACCUUGUUACGACGUCAGUACAUUACCCCUCUGUCA